RNAcentral lists this unclassified non-coding RNA (1864 nucleotides) under Leishmania donovani. Its description in RNAcentral is "gene:LdHU3.35.0360(CDS-product:hypothetical_prote in_conserved)". Lineage: Eukaryota; Euglenozoa; Kinetoplastea; Trypanosomatida; Trypanosomatidae. The record is from RNAcentral.
GUGUCUAUGGACAACCCAUCCUCUUUCAAAGCGAUUUCUACAUUUUCUAGGUUAAAUUACAAAAGGGUACACCAACACCAACACCGACCCACCGCCCCACCCAUGCACAAACGCGGCGCUGUCGCCUCCUCACCUGCCCUCUCUCUCCUCUCUUUUUAAGCGUAUUCUCGUCGACUGUUACUUCAUUCGCGUGCGGCAACUCCUCUUCUGUUUUAGCUGUCUGCUCACUCCGCUGUUGCACCGCGCCCGCUCUCGAGCCACUGUCUUUCCGCUUCAUCCGUCACACACACACACACACACACACACACUUCAUCUGCAAGGGGCACAGGCGCAAGAUGCUCCUCACCUAUCAGUUUGCCCCCAUCUGGGCUAUGCUGGUUUCCAUCGUAACCUUCCUUGUCUUGCGUCACAACGACCCUGUAGACCUGAACGAGUACAAGGAAAAGGCGCACGGCAUUCCACCGGUGGCUUGCUGCUCGGCAAUUGCGAUCCCCCUCGUUGUUCUCUUCGUCUACAACGCGGCACUAAGGAUGGGACCGCAGCCGUCGUGCAGCGGCACGAAAAAGUAAGUCCGCACGCUCUCCGCCCUAUUCGCUCUUGCCCAUUCUACCACGCGCGCUGUGGGCGGCCCAAUGCAGCUACACGUGAGAAGGCGUGCGACUGUGAGUGUCAUAGUUCGCUGGUGCUCUGAAAAAUACGUUUUUAACACGUCGUUCCACCACGAACAAGCCAGCAAAAGUAUACGCAAGCAGCCGCAGCUCACCUACGCCUGCUGCUUGACCUCUGCGCCACGGAGCCGGGCCAACUAACACCGCUUGGCGUCGUUUAGCUCCCUGCAACUCCACUGCACACAGCGCAGGCCAGAUCCAGGAUUACGCCCAACACCACUGCAACCCAGCAAAACAAAACGACAAAAAAGAGGUGGAUGCGUCACUAUUUGAAUUGUGGGCAAGAUGCAUAGCGGGUUGGUACAAACGUGAGCGUGACCGCAAGCCGAUUCGGCACAGCGGCUGCCCAGUCCAGCCCGCCGACACCAAGAGACCGUCGCCGUACCCGUGGCCAGGCUGCCGGAUGUUGGCCUCCCCACAAAGACUGUAUACCGGGGCCUGAUACGACGCACUGAGGUAGCCCGCAUCAUCAUGGUUUUUCUUUUCUUCUCUCCCAGAAGAACAAAUGAAGAUUCAUCGAGCAGCACUUGCGGCAAUAUCGACUGCCUGUGUGAGUGUGAAGGCGACAACAGCGCUGCCGUGGUGUGAGGACAAAGAUAGCGGAAGCUAUGGGGUGCAUGAGUACAGCAGCAGCGCUCCUUUCUUCUCCAUGCACGCUGCAUCUCUCUCCGGUGUUUAUCCCUACACGGCCGUCAACUGCCCUCCUUCCCUCUCUGCAAACUGUGAUGCGUCAAAAGGGAGAAGAAACGACAAGAUAAAGAAGAAAAGACAAGGCAAAGAAGAGGGAAGGCUGCACUGUAGCGGCGCUCAUGGCUGCUUCGCUCUUGACUGGAGCGGUGUGCAUGCGAGUGCCGGCGUGACGCUAUUCACUGUGUAGCGGUACCAACUCUUUUCUGUUUCUGUCUCUGUGUGCUGCUGCUCCCCAUCGCUUUAGAACUUCUGUGCCUCACGCCACAUGUACGAUAUUGGGCAAAGACGAGCGGAGAAAGCUGCCGUGUGUGUGUGUGUGUGUGUCUGUAUGUGCACGCGUGCAGGUCUCUGUGUGAGUGCAUACAAGUGAUUUGAUGAGGCGUACAUGCCCUGCUAGGUUUGACCUGAAGACGCAGCCCUUCGCUCUCUCUUGAUUUUUCAGCACACCAGCAUAUGAGCAGGCACGGUGCCAUGCGCACAUGUGGUGGUCAUGAUCCGGCAAAAUC